GUUCCCCGCGCGCGGUCAUUGACCUAAGAGUCGCGGCAGCUCCUUGUCCUCGCGUCCCCGGGCGUGAGGGAGAGAAAGUGCUGGACGAGCGGCGGGACUCGGCCUCGGUGCGGAUAUAAGGAGAAGUCAGCAGUCUACAAAUCAGAAAACUUUCCUUACCAGAACUCAACCAUACUGGCACCCUGCUCUUGAACUUCCAGUCUCCAGAACUUUUAUGAAGCACUGCUGUAUACAUCAUUCUACUGAAUGAAGACCUGAAUGCCUCAGACACUUCUAGCACCAAGCUUCAUGAUCUUUAAGGUAUUGGAUCAACUGGUAUAAUGGAAAGAAAAUAAGCUGGUAGCCUCCCUCUCCCCGUGGUAGUGAAGACGGUCCGCUGUCUGCUCCACAGGACGGGGAGUCACGCCCGGACCUCGCUUCACACAGUAUGCGGGCCCCUCACUGUUGUGGCCUCUCCUGCUGCUGAGCACAGGCUCCGGACGUGCAGGCUCAGCAGCCAUGGCUCACGGCCCCAGCCACUCUGCGGCAUGUGGGAUCUUCCCGGACCGGGGCACGAACCCGUGUCCCCUGCAUUGGCAGGCGGACUCUCAACCACUGCGCCACCAGGGAAACCCAGCAUUAUUUUUUAAUUAAGCUUGAGACCAAAGAGUUGCUGUGGGGGAACAUGGAACUGAGGUUGCCUGCAGUUGCAUAGAGGGACCAAACGUAUGGCUGGAUGCUGAGAAACAGUUAGAAUGUUCCUGUAAAGAAAAGUGGCUGGCGGAUAGUGGAUCAUUAAUUACCAGAGAGUGGUAUUUUCCCCAGAGACACCGGAUAGGAAUAUGACUUGAACGUCCCACAUGGGGUCCACGCCUCCACGCUGCCUUUGAAUCACACUCAUUCCACGCUGAGCUCUUGCUUCCUAAAGCGCAUUCUAUGGUCUUCCAGUGCAGACAUAUGGCAUGCACUUCCGGCUGUUCUACAGAGCCUUCUGGCCCAGGGCUGAUUGAAUAUGUCUGUAGGCUAGAGGUCUGACACGGGCUCCACUGGGCUAAAAUCAAAGUGUGGGCAGGGCCACGUUCCUCUCUGGAGGCUCUAGGGGAGAAUCUGUUCCCUCGCCUUUUCUAGCUUCCAGAGGCCGCCCACAUUCUUUGGCUUGUGGCUCCUUCCUGAACCUGCAGUAACUUUCUUCCUGUAUCUGCUGGAGUAUCCAAGUACAAACAUAUCAAUCUGGGGAAGAGAUGAAAGAGAGGUCACAGAUACACAUUUCCAACUUCCCACCUCUCACCAGCAGAGGGCGGGUAUUCUUCUGCAGCUCAUGAGAUGACGAUGUACUUGCUGACCCACACAUGAACCAGGGAGUGGGCACAGAGCUGGGAACGAACGUCCGCUGCGUGGAGGGCAGAGGACAAGCAGAGAAACGUCUCUGGGGAGUAGCAUGAAGCAAUCACAAGGAAAGCUGCCUGGAAAAAAAAUCUAAUAAAGGAAUGCUUACAGUGAAAGUUACACUGUUUUUCCAACGGUUUUUUUUAAUCGUUUUAAAUCAAUUUUUAUUAAAAUGUCAGAUGAUUUUGAGCACCUCCUAGGAAAGGAAAGCAAAGCAAAGCAAAACGAAAGCCCUUUUCUAUGGGGAAAUGAAAGCAUUGUCUGGACUUCUUUUAAAAUGUCAAUAACUUCUAUUUGUCUGCACUAAGUAGCCAAAUGCUCUUCCAGAUGUUGCCUCAGUUUGCAGCUGGACUUCCUCCUGGGUAACCUCUGUUGUGGGAAAGCCUGUUACUGCCUGAGAGGCAGCGGGAAGGUCAGGAACACUCCCAGGACUGCCACUCGCCAGCCCCAGGGCUGCAAAGACGCAGCAGCCAGCACCGGGCAGGAAGGUUUAUCACUCUUCUUUUCCUCAUUUGAGGGCAAUCAUACACACCCGCCACCUCUUUGCAGCUGGACUUAUCAUGGCUGAAAGCAAACUACAAACAAACAAACACCUAUGUGCUCAAGUGUUGCCAGCAUCAUCCUUCAUUAUACACACACGAUUCUCCUGCCCCAUUUACCUGCUCUAGUCCACACGUGUCACCUACAGAAUUCAGGUGAUUCAUCAUGAAGCUUAAAGGGUCGGAAGAGGUUUCCCGGGUAAACAGGAGUCGAAAAAGACUGGGAAUGACCUUUUUGGUCUUCAUCUGUUCAUAAGCCUCAGUGACUUGAUAGAGCAUGAUGAACUUCAGAGCUUCGUAAAGUUUAUAUUCCAGGAUAGCGUCAGAAAAAAGGACGUUGCACAUACUUCCUCUCUUGUGAUAAUCUUUAAUUCCACUAAAUUCAGCCCACUAAAAACACAGAUGUAAAGUGAAACUUAAACAGGAAAGGUGAAUACAUACACUACUGCAUAAUUUUUAAAGUACUUAUAAAACAAACCAGAGAUUAAUAGAGGGGAAUCGAACUUUAACUUUUCAUUUUAUAUCAUUUGACCCUGAUUUUUUUAACCCUAAGUACUUAUUACUUUUACAAUAUUUCAUUUAAACUAGUUUUUCAAAAAAGCACCACCCACUAGGUAAAAUACUAAACAAGUCAGUUUCCUAAAGCUGCCUCUAAGGGUGCUGGGUGACACAAAGGACAUUCCAGUGACAAUAGUACUAAUUAGUAUUCUUUCUUUACCACUCACUGUGUGCCAGGGCGGAGUAUAAAGCGAUCUACGUGCAUUCUCUCAUUAAAACGUCACAAUAACUAACUGUACAGGGUUAAGACUAUUCAUAUUUUAGUUUUACAGAUCAGAAAACCAUGGCAGAGAAAUGGUAUUUCCCAAGGAGGAUUCAUUUCAAUGAUCUAAAAAUCUGUGUUUAUUCAGGGCAGGAAAAACAAUCUUAGUCAAAUUAUAACAUCUGUCCUGUCCCCAAGUUACACAUAGGCACAUUUCAGAAGGGCAUUUCCCAGUGCCUUGUCUGGACCUUGCACCACAUUUUUCUGGGGAAACGACAGAGGUACGUGAUUGUUAAGGUUUCCCGGCCAGUCCACAAAAGCCCUCUUAGCCCGUGAUGGGUGUAAUCAUCGUGUAGAACAGCAUCGCUCCCGUUCGUUACUGGGAAGGACACAGAAGAGCAGGGAAGGAAGUGGUCAGCUGCCAGAAGACUAUUCCUGCUGCACUUUCUACUAGCGGGGCAUAGAGCGACAUGCCUGGCAUGAGAGAAAAGGGGCUGCGUGUGGGGCGCAUGCUUUCCCCCCUAAAGACUCACCUGUGCUUUCAAUGAUUCCACACAUUUACGUAAUUUGCCAAACACAUUCGAACCUGUAUACUUCUCAGGACCAAAACUGUAUUGCUGGAUCCAAUUACAACCUUGUGAAAAGAGCAGUUUUUCAGGAAGCUUGAAAAGGAAGUAGAUGCCAACAGUGAUCAGUAUCUCAACGUGUCUGACACACAAUUUGGACUAUGUCACAGGAGAUAAUCUUAUCCCAUUCAGAAAUCUUCGUUUUAAAAGACUAUAACAACAGUUAAGUAAAAACACAGUCUUGUUUUAGAUUUGUGGAUUAAGUGAUCUGGAUCAUCUUCUUAAUGCACAGUUUCACAACUGAUGAAAACCUAAAUGCAGAUUACGUCCACAGAAACAAUCUUUUUGGAUGAAACAUUUCCCGAACUUCCUGGGUAUACCCCUUUAGAAAUUAUUUUUAGCCAAGCGCCGUUAGAGUAACACAGUACAUCAGGGGAAUGUAGAUUGUACAAGGACGCACUUUGGGGUUGGAAACCAGCUCUGUCACUCGCCUGCCGAGAGAUGACUCACCCAGCACUGUUUAUGUAACCUCUUAGCCUCAUCCUCCACUGUAAUGGAGACAAUGACAACUGUCAAAAAUCAACGACAGGACGAUCCAUUUUGCAGGCCUCUUGUUGGGACUAAGUAAGAUUAUACAAUACGUAAGAACCUGAUCCACUGGGGGUAUCUGAUACAUUUUCCCACCCAGCUGAGCUUGUGGAGCCCGGGGCCUCAGCUAAGUUCUCUGCCCUCAGCAACUAGCAGCAGGGCUGGCACACAGCAUACACUUAACCACUAGAUGCACUUAAACUACCACUAAAAACAGCUCUAAAUAAAAGAUGUGAAGGAAAUAGACCAUGUGUAGUUAUAUAUGUGCAAAUACUUUAUAUUUCUUUGCUCCUCCAUCCUUAAAGGUACACCUGUGGUUAGGCAUGCUACAUUCAAAUAAAAAUUAAGGUUAUUCGUAAGACUGUGCUGCUUCACCUGUUAAGAAAAUGAAAAAAACAAGGUACUGACUGGGAGAAAAUAUUUGCAAAUGACAUAGCUGAUGAAGCACUCGUUUUCGGAAUAUAUAAAGAAUUCUCAAAACUCAAUAUUAAAAAAAAAACAACCCAAUAAAGAAUGGGCGAGGCUUCCCUGGUGGCACAGUGGUUGAGAGUCUGCCUGCCGAAGCAGGGGACAUGGGUUCGUGCCCCGGUCCGGGAAGAUGCAACAUGCCGCGGAGUGGCUAGGCCCGUAAGCCAUGGCCGCUGAGCCUGUGCGUCCAGAGCCUGUGCUCCGCAACAGUGAGAGGCCCGCGAACCGCAAAAAAAAAAAAAAAAAAAAAAGGGCAAAAGAUCUGAACAGAGACCUCUCCAAGGAGAUAAUGUGGAUGGCAAAUAAGCACAUGCAAAGAUGCUCAACAUCAUUACCCAUUAGGGGAAUGCAAACAAAAGGCAGUGAUACAAAUGCACCCCUAUUCGAAUGGCUAAAAACCAAAACAACGAACCUGAGAAUGUAGAGCAACUGGAGCUCAUACGUUAUUGGUGGCAAAAUGGCAGAGCCAGUUUGGAAAAGAGUGGGCAGGUUCUUAUAAAGUUAAACAUAAACCUAUCAUGUGACCCAGCUAUCUCACUCCUAGGUAUUUACCCAAAAGGAAUGAAAACUUACCUUCAUACAAAAUCCUGUAUGGGAAUAUUUAUAACAGCCUGAUUCAUCAUUGCCAACAACUGGAAGCAAUCUGGGGACCUCCCUGGUAGCACAGUGGUUGAGACGCCAUGCUCCCAGGGCAGGGGACCCGGGUUCGAUCCCUGGUCGGGGAACUAGAUCCCACAUGCGUGCCGCAACUAAGAGUUCACAUGCCACAACUAAGGAGCCUGCGAGCUGCAGCUAAGGAGCCCAUCGGCCUCAACUAAGACCCAAAUAAAUAAACUGGAAGCAAUCCAGAUGUCCUUCAACUCAUGAAUAGAUAAACAAAAUAUGUGAUAUUCAUAUCGAGGAACACCAUUCAACAAUAAAAGGAGUGAACUACAAAUCCAUGGAACAACGUGGAUGAACUGCAAAUACAUUAUGCUAAGUGAAAGAGGAAGAUUCAAAAGGCUACACACCGAAUAAUUCCAUUUAUGUGACAUUCUGGAAAAGGCAAAACUAAAGGGACGGAAGACAUAUCCGUGGUCGCCUGGGGUUGGGGGUGAGAGAAGGCUUGACAAAAAGGGAUACAAGGGAUUCUCUGGGGUGGAGGUUACACACUGUGCUUGUCAACACUCAAAUAGCCAUAGAGUAGAAAAGUGAAUUUUAGCAGACCACCUAACUUAUAAAGGACAGAUGCCCUUCUCAAGAAAAGACGCCGGCGUUAAAAACAAACAAAAUGGAGUGCGACUAUCCUUCUGAGAUGAUUUGUUUGCAAACUGACAUGAGAGACAGAGGACUGGGCUAAAGGACCUUCAGUCUCCUGACGCCCUGUGUACAAAGCCACCCACAGAAGACCCCGAGCAUCUGUGUUGCAGUCCCCAUCAGUGCGACCUUUCCCGCAUUUCCGGUGUGAGGACGUACCUUCGCGAUAUCUUUUUCUUUCAUCCAGGAUGGGAAAGAGAGGCCCUGGCUGAAGACUUGGAAGAGCACCGACCUUAGCGCAUCAUAGUUGUCUCUUCUUACUUGUCGAACACAUUUAAUAUGCCGCCGCCAGAACAGCUCCUCGUAAGCCUAUGAGCACGGGGGGAGAGGCUGUCUUUAGUUCCGCUGGAUGAGAGAACAAAGAAAGCAAACCCCCUGCAUCUGCAGCAAGGUGUUACUCCCAAAUAAAGCGGACAAAGAAACAAAACCAUUAUAAGUUAUGAAUGCGAACACGUGCAAUUUUCAAGUGACCUGUGUGUGUAUGGAGUCCAUUACAUGCUACUUUAGUUGGUAACUUCCUGGAAGCCCAGAGCCAGGAAAUGUCAUUCUGGGGAGAUGAUGUCUACAACUUGAACACAGUGAAAAAUACCAUAUAUACUUUUAAGUCCAUGCUAAAGUGUCAUUUAAAUGUACUUUUCUUUUUCUUUCUCUCACUCUUUUUUUUGGCGGGGGGCGGGGAGCUUUAGCUAGUGACAAGGUUGGACAGCACUGCUGGGAAUAUUUACCAAGAUUGGUCUGAUGGAAAGUUCUAAAAAUCCUCAAGAUGUUUUAUGUCAAGAUGCCUGAAUCCCUUCAAGGACAGAAGUCUCCACUGCAUGUUCAGAUGGGUUCAUAGGCCUGGCCAGGAGGGAGCUGAAAAGGGUACAAGGCUCAAGUGUCCUGAAAUUACGGGCCUAAUCUACCCAAGUCCUCGAAGGCACUAGCUCUAGGUGAGAGGCCCGAAGGCAACGUCUAGCAGCUGUCUGGCUUUUAAUUAGAGCCACAGUGGUUCCUGGUGCCACAUCUGGUGAAGCAGAAUGGAAUGCGUGUUUCCCGAUUUUUACACACAGAUUCUCCACCCACCACGAGCUGUAUAAACAGACACACCUUCCUCAUCAGCUUGGCCUGGGGUGUCUCUCCUUUCCAUUCUCUUGCACAAUAACUGAGUAAAUCAACUUCUGCCUCCACACUGAGGUUCCCUGAACCAAAUCAAAGAUACAAGGUGGUGAAUUUUCCCUUUCCUUUCCCUUCUUGAACCCUCUCUGCACUUUAAAAAUAAGGAAACAUAUGCAUGAAAAUAUUUACUUUUGAAUCUCCUCUGCAGAUAUCCAAUCCACCUAAAAGAUAAGGGAACGAUAAUAUCAAAAUUCUACUUUAAACAGCAAGGGCAUUUUUGAAAAUUAAAGACGACAUAGCCACAUACCUUUUCAGCCGGUGCCCUAAAUAUAAAUGUAGCCUUCUGAAGUACCAGAGGGUGCCCACCAGAAAUGAAACUGCCAGCGUCACUGACCCCUUUGCGACUCUCCACGCGGUAUCCAAGGCUUGGCUGGUGACGAGUGUCCAGGAGUGCACUUGGUCAUUUCCUACAAAAAUUCAAUAAUAAUAAUACUGUAUAGCAUGGGGAACUAUAUUUAAUAUACUCGAUAAACCAUAAUGGAAAAGAAUAUAAAAAGGAAUGUAUAUAUGUGUCUGAGUCACUUUGCUGUACAGCAGAAAUUAACAUUGUAA
Molecule: long non-coding RNA, 7289 nt
Organism: Mesoplodon densirostris (Blainville's beaked whale)
Lineage: Eukaryota; Metazoa; Chordata; Mammalia; Artiodactyla; Ziphiidae
Exons: 9
Source: RefSeq, a predicted model, not a curated record